UGGGGAAUAUUGCACAAUGGGCGCAAGCCUGAUGCAGCCAUGCCGCGUGUAUGAAGAAGGCCUUCGGGUUGUAAAGUACUUUCAGCGGGGAGGAAGGGAGUAAAGUUAAUACCUUUGCUCAUUGACGUUACCCGCAGAAGAAGCACCGGCUAACUCCGUGCCAGCAGCCGCGGUAAUACGGAGGGUGCAAGCGUUAAUCGGAAUUACUGGGCGUAAAGCGCACGCAGGCGGUUUGUUAAGUCAGAUGUGAAAUCCCCGGGCUCAACCUGGGAACUGCAUCUGAUACUGGCAAGCUUGAGUCUCGUAGAGGGGGGUAGAAUUCCAGGUGUAGCGGUGAAAUGCGUAGAGAUCUGGAGGAAUACCGGUGGCGAAGGCGGCCCCCUGGACGAAGACUGACGCUCAGGUGCGAAAGCGUGGGAAGCAAACAGG
This 429-nucleotide ribosomal RNA is filed under the name Chloroflexota bacterium. Its description in RNAcentral is "Chloroflexi bacterium partial 16S ribosomal RNA". It matches the Rfam family "Bacterial small subunit ribosomal RNA", at positions 355 to 776 of the family's 1533-position model. The record is from RNAcentral. Lineage: Bacteria; Bacillati; Chloroflexota.